GCAAAACCGUGCGCCCCGGCACGCACAGCCCCGCGGCCCCCGACCCCCCACGCCCCUAACCCUAACGGGGAUCCCAGUCCUAGGGACACCGGGCGCGUGCGCGACCCCAAUCAGUUAUUUAUGGGCGAAUUAAUUAUGUAGCUGCCAUGGGCGGGGGGGCCGGCAGGGGCCAUGCGACGCGGAGACCACCCGGCCGCGGUGGCGGCUCUCCUGCCGGGCCUCGGGGUCGGGAGGCGUCCCCACGCCGCCCGGGGAGGAUCCCGUUGUGAGAAAGCUGCCUCGGGGUGGGGUCCGGGAGGAGCGCGGGGGAACCUGAGGAAGCGGGAGAGACGGCUCGGAGACCUCCCAAUUAGACUGGGAGGGGAGAGGGGGGCGGGCGACGGAGCUGGAAAGAGCGGGCCGCGGAGACCGGGGCGUGGGAAGAGCCUGGCCUAGGCAUUUCUUCCCUUCCUUCCUUCCUUCAUCCCCAUCCUUACUGCGAGCCCACUACGUGCCACUGCGCCCACAGCAGAGGGCGGUAUUAGGGAGGGGUUAGGAGCAGGAAGGAAUUUCGAGGUACAGCUGGGUCCAAAUCCGGAUUUGUAUCCUAUACUCCCCUGCUGUGUGGCCUUAGGCAACGGCUUGCCCUCUCGGAGCCUCCACUUCCUCAUCUGCCAGUGGUCUUCAGGACUUGGGAGAUGGGGCGCUUGGGCAGAGAGUUUGUGGGGGCGCGGUCGAAGGGAGGUCCUGUCCUUGGGAAACUUUACAUAGAGGGGAACAUGCCCAGUCCCCCAGUAUUCCCCAUCUCGAAGCCCCGACUUUGGGUCUCAUAUAAUCUGCCUCUCCCCGGGGCCCACACAUUUGAAGGUCGUUAUUAAAACCACACCACCCCCAAGGCCACUGCUCAGGACGCUCACCCCUAGCUGGCUUCUCACCAGCCUGGCCCUGCAGAAGGUCGUGCAUAUGGCAGCCAGAGGGGCUCAAUCUAGUCCUUUUACUCCCCACCUCCGCUGCCUCCCCCGACUCUGCCCUUCACAUCCCCACCUGGGUUCUCCUUCCAACCUGCUUCUAGUCUGGGCUAGGGAGAUUGGAGCCCUGAGGCCAUGGGGGCUACGGGGCAGUGAGAACAGGGGUGGGGGCUCAGCUGGCCCUCCCUGGACAAGUGUCCCCCUUAUCUGGAGUGUCAAGGCGUUCUACUUCCAAGACUCAGAAGUGAAGGAGGCUUCCGUUUGCGACCCAGGAUUGCCUAGGGGUUUGCCUGUCUUCUUUCACCAAAACUUGCAAUAACUCUGUUAGGUGAAUGGGGCAGAUCCAGGUUUUAUGGGGCCUGAAGGUUUUACAAUCCUGGGGACCCACUUGAAGAAGAAUAGUGCAAAGUUAUGAAUAGGCGGUUAAGCUCAGGGCCUUGGUAAAUGACAGUCCCAGGAGCUAAAGCUUCAUUAGCCCCUCGGUAACUCACCUCUGUAGAUGGACAACACAACUGUCAUCCCUUUGCAGAGGUGGAAACAAAGCUUAGGCUGGCCCAAGGUCACAACAGGUAGAAAGGACAAGCUGGGAUCAAACCCAGGUCCCACCCCACAGGCAGCACCCUGAACUAACUGCCUCAGUAGGAAUGCCACCUUCCAUAUCAUCUACCCCAUGCCACAUCUCACCUGUCCCCACCAGUGCCCAGCCCAGGCAGGGUCAGUCAGAACAGCCUUUGCUUCCAGAACAGUCUGUGUCCCUCCCUCCAGAGGCCUCCAUGUCCCAAGGCUCAAGCCUCAGAGAUACUGUCUUGUGACAACACUCACAGAUCUAGUAAGUAGGUCUCUUCUAAACUUUUGAUUCCAGCAAUGGUAACCUGCUCACUCCAGAACUCCAGCUCCCCCGUCCACCUGGAGGGAGCGCACCCCUGUUCCCCGGUGGGCUCCCUGGUGUUCGGGGCUGGAUCUGUUUUAUUUGGCUCAGUAUUCCCC
RNAcentral lists this long non-coding RNA (1934 nucleotides) under Homo sapiens (human). RNAcentral describes it as "novel transcript". Lineage: Eukaryota; Metazoa; Chordata; Mammalia; Primates; Hominidae. The record is from RNAcentral.